GGCGAACGCUGGCGGCAGGCUUAACACAUGCAAGUCGAGCGGGCAUAGCAAUAUGUCAGCGGCAGACGGGUGAGUAACGCGUGGGAACGUACCUUUUGGUUCGGAACAACACAGGGAAACUUGUGCUAAUACCGGAUAAGCCCUUACGGGGAAAGAUUUAUCGCCGAAAGAUCGGCCCGCGUCUGAUUAGCUAGUUGGUGAGAUAAUGGCUCACCAAGGCGACGAUCAGUAGCUGGUCUGAGAGGAUGAUCAGCAACAUUGGGACUGAGACACGGCCCAAACUCCUACGGGAGGCAGCAGUGGGGAAUAUUGGACAAUGGGCGCAAGCCUGAUCCAGCCAUGCCGCGUGUGUGAUGAAGGCCUUAGGGUUGUAAAGCACUUUCACCGGAGAAGAUAAUGACGGUAUCCGGAGAAGAAGCCCCGGCUAACUUCGUGCCAGCCGCCGCGGUAA
This 451-nucleotide ribosomal RNA is filed under the name uncultured bacterium. Its description in RNAcentral is "partial 16S ribosomal RNA". It matches the Rfam family "Bacterial small subunit ribosomal RNA", at positions 28 to 523 of the family's 1533-position model. The record is from RNAcentral.